Molecule: ribosomal RNA, 450 nt
Filed under: uncultured bacterium
Lineage: Bacteria
Description: partial 16S ribosomal RNA
Rfam family: Bacterial small subunit ribosomal RNA
Source: RNAcentral
GUGGGGAAUUUUGGACAAUGGGCGCAAGCCUGAUCCAGCAAUGCCGCGUGCAGGAAGAAGGCCUUCGGGUUGUAAACUGCUUUUGUACGGAACGAAACGGUCCUGGCUAAUAUCCGGGGCUAAUGACGGUACCGUAAGAAUAAGCACCGGCUAACUACGUGCCAGCAGCCGCGGUAAUACGUAGGGUGCGAGCGUUAAUCGGAAUUACUGGGCGUAAAGCGUGCGCAGGCGGUGCUGUAAGACAGGCGUGAAAUCCCCGGGCUCAACCUGGGAAUUGCGCUUGUGACUGCAGUGCUGGAGUACGGCAGAGGGGGAUGGAAUUCCGCGUGUAGCAGUGAAAUGCGUAGAUAUGCGGAGGAACACCGAUGGCGAAGGCAGUCCCCUGGGCCUGUACUGACGCUCAUGAACGAAAGCGUGGGGAGCAAACAGGAUUAGAUACCCGUGUAGUCC